This 499-nucleotide ribosomal RNA is filed under the name uncultured bacterium. RNAcentral's name for it is "partial 16S ribosomal RNA". It matches the Rfam family "Bacterial small subunit ribosomal RNA", at positions 28 to 507 of the family's 1533-position model. The record is from RNAcentral.
GACGAACGCUGGCGGCGUGCCUAAUACAUGCAAGUCGAGCGAAGUUUUUCUGGUGCUUGCACUAGAAAAACUUAGCGGCGAACGGGUGAGUAACACGUGAAGAACCUGCCUCAUAGACUGGGACAACUAUUGGAAACGAUAGCUAAUACCGGAUAACAGUAUUUCUCGCAUGAGAGAUAUUUAAAAGUUGGUUAUGCUAACACUAUGAGAUGGCUUUGCGGUGCAUUAGCUAGUUGGUGGGGUAAAGGCCCACCAAGGCGACGAUGCAUAGCCGACCUGAGAGGGUGAUCGGCCACACUGGGACUGAGACACGGCCCAGACUCCUACGGGAGGCAGCAGUAGGGAAUCUUCCGCAAUGGGCGAAAGCCUGACGGAGCAACGCCGCGUGAGUGAAGAAGGAUUUCGGUUCGUAAAGCUCUGUUGUUAGGGAAGAAUGGAUAUGUAGUAACUAUACAUGUAAGAGAUGGUACCUAACCAGAAAGCCACGGCUAACUACGUG